RNAcentral lists this non-coding RNA (148 nucleotides) under Homo sapiens (human). The record is from Rfam by way of RNAcentral. Lineage: Eukaryota; Metazoa; Chordata; Mammalia; Primates; Hominidae.
GCCGGGCGUGGUGGUGGGCGUCUGUAAUCCCAGCUACUUGGGAGGCUGAGGCAGGAGAAUUGCUUGAACCCAGGAGGUGGAGGUUGCAGUGAGCCGAGUUCGUGCCACUGCACUCCAGCCUGGGCAACAGAGCAAGACUCCGCCUCUA